Molecule: transfer RNA, 73 nt
Filed under: Bos taurus (domestic cattle)
Lineage: Eukaryota; Metazoa; Chordata; Mammalia; Artiodactyla; Bovidae
Also listed under: 5 other names
Rfam family: tRNA
About the family: Transfer RNA (tRNA) molecules are approximately 80 nucleotides in length. Their secondary structure includes four short double-helical elements and three loops (D, anti-codon, and T loops). Further hydrogen bonds mediate the characteristic L-shaped molecular structure. tRNAs have two regions of fundamental functional importance: the anti-codon, which is responsible for specific mRNA codon recognition, and the 3' end, to which the tRNAs corresponding amino acid is attached (by aminoacyl-tRNA synthetases). tRNAs cope with the degeneracy of the genetic code in two manners: having more than one tRNA (with a specific anti-codon) for a particular amino acid; and 'wobble' base-pairing, i.e. permitting non-standard base-pairing at the 3rd anti-codon position.
Source: Rfam by way of RNAcentral
UCCCAGGUGGUCCAGUGGUUAAGACUCUGAGCUUCAAAUGCAGGAGGCACAGGUUCAAUCCCUGGGUUGGGAA